CCCUGAAUCAAUUAAAAUUUACAACUUUCUGCACACUUGACUCGGAGUCUAAGUUACAAUCGACUGUCCCAAACUCCUUCGAUUAGGUUAACUUCUCUCCGCCGACCGACUGUCCCAAACUCCCACUGCCAUCGCUGCUACUGCUAGCUCCCUCUCCACUUCCUCCCACUUUGGCCACUGCCAUUGUUGCUACUGCUAGCUCCAUCUCCACCACUUCCUCCCACUUCCCCCACUGCCAUCGCUACGCAGUAGCUCCAUCUCCGCCACUUCCGCCAGUUCCACUUCAGCAACCUCCAAGCCGCCCAAGAAUUUGAGUGCGCAACCCACUGACGGAGGCUGACUAACGGACGAGGAUCUGGAAGGCCAUCUCCGGGCUUUGUCUAAGCUUUUCCAGCGUCGCAAGUGUGCCACCCGCUGAGCCCAUCUCCACCACUCCCUAACGUCAUCCUCAUAUCAGUCCACUGGAUUUUGUGCCUAGAUUUUGCAGGUAUAAGUUCUUUUCCUGGCAGAAUGCAAUUCCAAUUCUUCUGCAACUUCUUGCAUUAGUGAAAUGCUUGUUUAGCUGAAUUUUAUAUUGCUUGAUAGAGGUUUCAAAGUGUGGUUCUUUUCUUCUUAUGAUGGCAGAAACUAUUAAUUUGUAUUAGUGGAUAAUUUUGGAGAAUUUGUAUUAGUGGACAUUUGGAGAAUUAUGAUUGUAUUAGUGAUGUUUCGUGCUUAAA
Coffea arabica (coffee) is the source of this 719-nucleotide long non-coding RNA. RefSeq lists it as uncharacterized. NCBI's taxonomy places the organism in Eukaryota, Viridiplantae, Streptophyta, Magnoliopsida, Gentianales, Rubiaceae. The record is from RefSeq and is a predicted model, not a curated record.